This 494-nucleotide ribosomal RNA is filed under the name uncultured bacterium. RNAcentral describes it as "partial 16S ribosomal RNA". It matches the Rfam family "Bacterial small subunit ribosomal RNA", at positions 28 to 507 of the family's 1533-position model. The record is from RNAcentral.
GACGAACGCUGGCGGCGUGCUUAACACAUGCAAGUCGAACGGAAAGGCCUGCUUUCCCUUGUGGAUUGCGGGUGCUCGAGUGGCGAACGGGUGAGUAACACGUGAGUGAUCUGCCCCCAACUUGGGUAUAAGCCUGGGAAACUGGGUCUAAUUCCCGAUAGGACUGCAGGGUGGUGCCUGUGGUGGAAAACGAUUUUCUAGUGGUUGGGGAUGAGCUCGCGGCCUAUCAGCUUGUUGGUGGGGUAAUGGCCUACCAAGGCGGCGACGGGUAGCCGGCCUGAGAGGGUGGACGGCCACAUUGGGACUGAGAUACGGCCCAGACUCCUACGGGAGGCAGCAGUGGGGAAUAUUGCACAAUGGGUGGAAGCCUGAUGCAGCGACGCCGCGUGGGGGAUGACGGCCUUCGGGUUGUAAACUCCUUUCGACCGCGAGGAAGCCACCUGGUUGGAAGGGUGGUGACGGUAGUGGUAGAAGAAGCACCGGCUAACUACGUG